Molecule: long non-coding RNA, 441 nt
Organism: Xenopus laevis (African clawed frog)
Lineage: Eukaryota; Metazoa; Chordata; Amphibia; Anura; Pipidae
Exons: 2
Source: RefSeq, a predicted model, not a curated record
UAAAUCAACGUUUUCCGGAGCCGGCAGGAUCCAUACAUUGAUAGUGCUUAAGCUAAAUAUAUGCAGGAAACCAAGAGAACUCUGAUGUAAAUAAGAGAAGCCCCCCUUUUACAUAACCAUAUAGUUUGUUCUCCUGGAUGUGAUUUCCUUCCUGGAUUUUUUGCGGUCCCUGGGAAUACGAAAAAUGGAUAACAUACCGGAUAUCUUCCAGGGCAGUGGAGACUUGCUCUUGCACAAUAUCAUGAAGUUUCACCCUGAAGCCUCCGCUUGCAAAGACCAUGGCCCAACUGCGACCUAUAAGACCACUAUGAGGAGUAAAAAAGAAAAAUAUGACUUAAUAAAAUUCAAAAUGUACUCUCUGUGAACAUGAUAGGAAAGAAUGGAGAAAAACAAAUUAUUCAAAUAACAAUACAAUAAAAAUAGGCAUCAGUUUACUCAUUA